UGGGAUGUAGCUCAGUGGUAGAGCGUUUGCCUAGCAUACAGAAGGCCUAGGUUCUACCCACAGCACCACAG
Molecule: transfer RNA, 71 nt
Filed under: Rattus norvegicus (Norway rat)
Lineage: Eukaryota; Metazoa; Chordata; Mammalia; Rodentia; Muridae
Rfam family: tRNA
About the family: Transfer RNA (tRNA) molecules are approximately 80 nucleotides in length. Their secondary structure includes four short double-helical elements and three loops (D, anti-codon, and T loops).
Source: Rfam by way of RNAcentral